Molecule: ribosomal RNA, 581 nt
Filed under: uncultured bacterium
Lineage: Bacteria
Description: bacterial SSU rRNA
Rfam family: Bacterial small subunit ribosomal RNA
Source: RNAcentral
GAGUUUGAUCCUGGCUCAGAACGAACGCUGGCGGCAGGCCUAACACAUGCAAGUCGAGCGCACUCUUCGGAGUGAGCGGCGGACGGGUUAGUAACGCGUGGGAAUAUACCCGGUACUAAGGAAUAGCCUCUGGAAACGGAGAGUAAUACCUUAUACGCCCUUCGGGGGAAAGAUUUAUCGGUAUCGGAUUAGCCCGCGUUAGAUUAGUUAGUUGGUGGGGUAACGGCCUACCAAGACGACGAUCUAUAGCUGGUUUGAGAGGAUGAUCAGCAACACUGGGACUGAGACACGGCCCAGACUCCUACGGGAGGCAGCAGUGGGGAAUCUUAGACAAUGGGCGCAAGCCUGAUCUAGCCAUGCCGCGUGAGUGAUGAAGGCCUUAGGGUCGUAAAGCUCUUUCGCCAGGGAUGAUAAUGACAGUACCUGGUAAAGAAACCCCGGCUAACUCCGUGCCAGCAGCCGCGGUAAUACGGAGGGGGUUAGCGUUGUACGGAAUUACUGGGCGUAAAGCGCGCGUAGGCGGAUUAGUCAGUUAGAGGUGAAAUCCCAGAGGCUCAAACCUGGAACUGCCUUUAAUACUG